This 1339-nucleotide ribosomal RNA is filed under the name uncultured bacterium. RNAcentral's name for it is "bacterial SSU rRNA". It matches the Rfam family "Bacterial small subunit ribosomal RNA", at positions 28 to 1382 of the family's 1533-position model. The record is from RNAcentral.
GACGAACGCUGGCGGCGCGCCUAACACAUGCAAGUCGAACGGAGCUUAGAGAGCUUGCUUUUUAAGCUUAGUGGCGAACGGGUGAGUAACGCGUGAGUAACCUGCCCUAGAGUGGGGGAACAACAGUUGGAAACGACUGCUAAUACCGCAUAAGCCCACGGUACCGCAUGGUACUGAGGGAAAAGGAUUUAUUCGCUUUAGGAUGGACUCGCGUCCAAUUAGCUAGUUGGUGAGGUAACGGCCCACCAAGGCGACGAUUGGUAGCCGGACUGAGAGGUUGAACGGCCACAUUGGGACUGAGACACGGCCCAGACUCCUACGGGAGGCAGCAGUGGGGGAUAUUGCACAAUGGGGGAAACCCUGAUGCAGCGACGCCGCGUGGAGGAAGAAGGUUUUCGGAUUGUAAACUCCUGUCGUUAGGGACGAUAAUGACGGUACCUAACAAGAAAGCACCGGCUAACUACGUGCCAGCAGCCGCGGUAAAACGUAGGGUGCAAGCGUUGUCCGGAAUUACUGGGUGUAAAGGGAGCGCAGGCGGGAGGACAAGUUGGAAGUGAAAACCAUGGGCUCAACCCAUGAAUUGCUUUCAAAACUGUUUUUCUUGAGUAGUGCAGAGGUAGAUGGAAUUCCCGGUGUAGCGGUGGAAUGCGUAGAUAUCGGGAGGAACACCAGUGGCGAAGGCGGUCUACUGGGCACCAACUGACGCUGAGGCUCGAAAGCAUGGGUAGCAAACAGGAUUAGAUACCCUGGUAGUCCAUGCCGUAAACGAUGAUUACUAGGUGUUGGGGGAUUGACCCCCUCAGUGCCGCAGUUAACACAAUAAGUAAUCCACCUGGGGAGUACGACCGCAAGGUUGAAACUCAAAGGAAUUGACGGGGGCCCGCACAAGCAGUGGAGUAUGUGGCUUAAUUCGAAGCAACGCGAAGAACCUUACCAGGUCUUGACAUCCGAUGCAUAGCACAGAGAUGUGUGAAAUCCUUCGGGACAUCGAGACAGGUGGUGCAUGGUUGUCGUCAGCUCGUGUCGUGAGAUGUUGGGUUAAGUCCCGCAACGAGCGCAACCCUUAUUGCCAGUUACUACGUUAAGAGGACUCUGGCGAGACUGCCGUUGACAAAACGGAGGAAGGUGGGGAUGACGUCAAAUCAUCAUGCCCUUUAUGACCUGGGCUACACACGUACUACAAUGGCGUUAAACAAAGAGAAGCAAGACCGCGAGGUGGAGCAAAGACUCAAAAACAAACGUCUCAGUUCAGAUUGCAGGCUGCGACUCGCCUGCUUGAAGUCGGAAAUUGCUAGUAAUCGCGGAUCAGCAUGCCGCGGUAAAUACGUUCCCGGGCCUU